Molecule: long non-coding RNA, 425 nt
Organism: Salvia splendens (bonfire salvia)
Lineage: Eukaryota; Viridiplantae; Streptophyta; Magnoliopsida; Lamiales; Lamiaceae
Exons: 2
Source: RefSeq, a predicted model, not a curated record
CGGUCUCGUGGGCGAAUAGUGUGGCCACACUUUCGUCGCACAUGGAAUGAUGUUUGUGAUUGAUGGAUUGUUGAGAAAGUGGGGAGAUUAUUUGACUGACCAGUCUAUGAAAAUGUUUUGGUGAUACUCUUGAUAUUCUUAAAUAAACGUAAAAAAACUCGAGUUCACUGGUUGCGAUGGAUGUUGCGAUGGAUGUUGAGUCGGCCUAGGAAAUUUUUGGAUGCGUUGUGUCUUCAUACAUAGGCGUCAUCAUUGACUCUCUUUGAAACCUUAUUUCCGCUGCUAUACUUUUUCUAUCUAUGCCCCAAGAGUUCUUUACUUCGUACUAUUUUUUGGCAUGUCAAAUCCUUUUAGAUGUUAAUCCUUUUCGUAAAGUAAAACAAUUGCUCUUUUGGAGGUUAAUGGAUUUUGAUAAUUUUUUUCCC